AUCAUGCUGUUUCAACUCCCUUCUAUAAAUUUUGUCAAAAAAAAAAAACUCCCUUCUAUAAAUAGCUUCAUCCCAUUCCAUCAACAUUCAUCCUUAACUUCAAUCUUGAUGAAAAGUUUCUAUGAAAUUUCAUUGUUUUCCUAUGUUUUAUUCCACAGCAGUGGUUGCACUGCGUCCAACACCUUGUUGUAACGACACCGCUGCCGUCACCCCUGCUGCCACUGUCACCGGCGGCUGUGGUGGUGUUACCACAAGGUGGAUGGACGCAUGGACAGUUCAUGGUGCAAUUAGGAAUAACUACCUUAAGGAGAAUAAUGAAAAUAAUAAAACUUUUAUCAUCAAAGCUAGGGAUGCAACUCUGUCAUUCUUAUAUUCCGUAAAUGCGCAUUGGAUCGGGUUCAAUUUUUGAGGAAGAAUCAAUCUAAUGGAGGGUCAAGAUUAUAUUCUCACCUGAUAUCCCAAUGGAGGCCCUUGUCUGGGUGCACUCUUUGAUGUUCCAACCACAAGUAAUUUUGGGUUUCAUCUAGUAUCAAUCAAGAAUCAUAGAGAGUCAAUGGUGGAACUACAAUUAGCUAUGCAAAAGCAAAGAAAGGGUGUCUCACUCAAGUAAGUUUGAUUUUGCAUCUUAUUUGAACUUACUUACACAAGCACCAGAAUAAGUGUGUAAUGAAAAUAACUUAUGACAUACCCAGGAGCAUGGUUGUCAAAAUCGGGAUCUCGAUAAAGAUCAUUAAGGUAUAGAAAAAUUGUAAAUCGUAAACUUUAACACAGAUAGUAAGAUCUCAACAAAUAGACAAAAUUAUAGAAAUAACUAGAAAAAUUACUUUAACAUAAAAUUCUCAUUAAUUUAAUCAUCAAUAGCAAAUAUUUUAUACAAAAAAACAUAAUAGAAGGAUUUGAUUUGAAUUUAUAGAAAAGAUAGAUGAAGGGAGGAAAUCGAUUCAUUGUAUGAUUAAUCGAUACAAAAUUCUCAUAGUUCUCGUGCCUUUUGUUUGCGGACAAUCUUUAUUUUACAACUCUCAAAAGCUCAUUUAAAAUAUUGCAAGUCCCAAAACUCUAAAAUAUGUGUGCACAAUAGUCAGGGUUAAUUAUGGAUCAGUUUAUAGGCCGAUUCCAAUUGUUUAAUGACAUGAUCGAAACAAGUCUAAAGCGGGUAAAAACAAAAAAUGGAUUGUUGGGAUCUCAAGAUCUCAUGAUAUAAAGAUCUUUCUCUAGGAGUUCACGCUCCAGCCAUAUCCAAGAUCUUUGUGCUACUUAAAUUGGCGGCCAGUUGCCAGAACGUAAGAUCGUAAGAUUUUGGGAGUUAGAGUGAGAUCCAGACAAUUAUGCCCAGGUGUUCUUUACGGUUUAUCUAAAAAAAAGUCAUGAUUAUUUAUGAAAAUAGCUUACAAUUUAUACCUAAACAAUUGAACCAUAUUUUCUUUUUGAUUAUCAAAACACUUAUGUAUUCAUUAAAAUUUGCCUAAUUGCAUGCUAUAUUUUAUUGCCACAUUUUAUUUCCUUUCAACUUAAGUUAAAAGUAGUCUUCCAAUGGUGUUAUUAAUUUUCUCACAAUAACUUAAGUAUGGUGCCUCCUAUAAAUAGCAAAUUAGACCAUGUGCAAUGGGUGUGUUUAGUUGAACUCAACAUGCAAAAUCUAUUUCAAUGGGUGUUUAGAGUAGUGUUGUGUGUGAGGUGGAAGAGAGAGGUGUUGAGAAAACUCAACACAAUUGAGGCUGACGCAGGGGGCAUGUGGCAGCUUCUGAUUGGCUGGCCAGAUUUUUAUCCAUUUAAUACUUUGAACUCAAUUAUUUCGUUGCAAAUUAUUUAUUUAUUUUUUAUUUUUACCAAAAUUCAUGAUUUUUUUUCUCUAUAAAUAGAGACUUGGUUCAUUUGAUUUGGACACAGAAAAAAAAACCAAGUAUUUCACUAUUUUAAUCUUAUUAUUAUCUUUCUAUUAGUGUUUAUUUUGAAGUUAAGUGUCUUUUUUUAGUGAAAUGGAUCCCAAUAAUCAUUUUAACACUCAAAAUUCUGCUAAUUUUCCAUUUAACCAAAAUCCCAACAAUUUUCAAAAUCCCAACAAUUAUCAAAAUCCCAACUAAUUUUGUUUUUAUUACAAAAAAUUAAAAAAUAAAUUGUUAAGUAUUUAUUAUUUUAAUUUAAUUUUAAUCGAUAAUUGUAAUUUUAUGUAAUUAUAAAAAUAAAAAUAAAAUUUAAAUAAGAAUAUGAAAAUAAAAAGUGGUGGAGUAGGGUGUUGAGUGAAAAACCAUUGGAGAAGGUAAAAGUUGAAUGAGUGUUGAGUUAUUAGGUAGAGGAGAGAGAAAAUGAUGUGGAGUGUUGGGAGUUAAAAAAGUGGGUGUUGAGUGUUGAAACCAUUGUAAAUGGUCUUAUAUACGAGUACCACCUCUAGAGUACCUAAUUUGUUUUUAGAAGCCUGCAUUUAAUAAGAUACAAAUUUAUGGCAUUUAGAUUUCAAACUUUGUUUUGAGUCAUUUAUUGUGCUAGCUAGUAUAGAGACAAAUGAAGUACUAAAAAAGGAAAAGAAUAAAUAGAGAUAAAGUUAUUUGUUUCUAUAUAGGAACUUCUUCAAUCAAUGCUACCUACCCAUCAGUUUGUACUAGUAACACCAUCAUAAAUACAAAGUUUGGUAGGUACACCAUUUUAAUUGAAAUCACGUCAAUAUAUAUAGAGGAGUCAUAUUUCAUUUUGUGAACUACCAUUCAAAAAGAAAUUCUACAUUCAGUGAAUCAUAAUAUAUUUUGAGUGAUUCUACUUUGAUAUUUACAUUGCUCUCUACAUUCUUUGAAUCAUGACAUCUCAAUAUUGUCCAGAUUUUCGUGUAAUAAUAAUGGAGAGUAAACAGCUUGUAAGUAUAUUAUAAAGAAAUAUGCUAAGAAAUAUGCUGCAUUGUA
Vicia villosa (hairy vetch) is the source of this 2891-nucleotide long non-coding RNA. RefSeq lists it as uncharacterized. The transcript is spliced from 3 exons. The record is from RefSeq and is a predicted model, not a curated record. NCBI's taxonomy places the organism in Eukaryota, Viridiplantae, Streptophyta, Magnoliopsida, Fabales, Fabaceae.